Molecule: ribosomal RNA, 608 nt
Filed under: Wolbachia endosymbiont of Bemisia tabaci
Lineage: Bacteria; Pseudomonadati; Pseudomonadota; Alphaproteobacteria; Rickettsiales; Anaplasmataceae
Description: bacterial SSU rRNA
Rfam family: Bacterial small subunit ribosomal RNA
Source: RNAcentral
UAUUAGAUGAGCCUAUAUUAGAUUAGCUAGUUGGUGGAGUAAUAGCCUACCAAGGCAAUGAUCUAUAGCUGAUCUGAGAGGAUGAUCAGCCACACUGGAACUGAGAUACGGUCCAGACUCCUACGGGAGGCAGCAGUGGGGAAUAUUGGACAAUGGGCGAAAGCCUGAUCCAGCCAUGCCGCAUGAGUGAAGAAGGCCUUUGGGUUGUAAAGCUCUUUUAGUGAGGAAGAUAAUGACGGUACUCACAGAAGAAGUCCUGGCUAACUCCGUGCCAGCAGCCGCGGUAAUACGGAGAGGGCUAGCGUUAUUCGGAAUUAUUGGGCGUAAAGGGCGCGUAGGCUGAUUAAUAAGUUAAAAGUGAAAUCCCGAGGCUUAACCUUGGAAUUGCUUUUAAAACUAUUAAUCUAGAGAUUGAAAGAGGAUAGAGGAAUUCCUGAUGUAGAGGUAAAAUUCGUAAAUAUUAGGAGGAACACCAGUGGCGAAGGCGUCUAUCUGGUUCAAAUCUGACGCUGAAGCGCGAAGGCGUGGGGAGCAAACAGGAUUAGAUACCCUGGUAGUCCACGCUGUAAACGAUGAAUGUUAAAUAUGGGAAGUUUACUUUCUGUUAC